Molecule: ribosomal RNA, 465 nt
Filed under: uncultured bacterium
Lineage: Bacteria
Description: partial 16S ribosomal RNA
Rfam family: Bacterial small subunit ribosomal RNA
Source: RNAcentral
CCUACGGGUGGCAGCAGUGGGGAAUCUUCCACAAUGGGCGAAAGCCUGAUCCAGCCACGCCGCGUGAGUGAAGAAGGUCUUCGGAUCGUAAAACCCUGUUGUUAGAGAAGUAAAUGCGUGAAAGUAACUGUUCAUGUUUCGACGUUAUCUAACCAGAUAGCCUCGGUCAACUACGUCCGCGCAGCCGAGGUAAUGCGUAGGAGGCUAGCGUGAUCUGGUUUUGUUGGGCGGAAAGGGAGCGUAGGCGGUCUUUUAAGUCUGAUGUGAAAGCUUUCGGCUGAACCGUAGUAGUGCAUUGGAAACUGGGAGACUUGAGUGCAGGAGAGGAGAGUGGAACUCGAGGUGUAGCGGUGAAAUGCGUAGAUAUAAGGAAGAACUCCAGUGGCGAAGGCAGCUUUCUGGUCUGUAACUGACGCUGAGGUUCGAAAGCGUGGGUAGCAAACAGGAUUAGAUACCCCAGUAGUC